RNAcentral lists this ribosomal RNA (406 nucleotides) under uncultured bacterium. RNAcentral describes it as "partial 16S ribosomal RNA". It matches the Rfam family "Bacterial small subunit ribosomal RNA", at positions 30 to 526 of the family's 1533-position model. The record is from RNAcentral.
AUUGAACGCUGGCGGCAGGCCUAACACAUGCAAGUCGAACGAGUGGCGGACGGGUGAGUAAUGUCUGGGAAACUGCCCGAUGGAGGGGGAUAACUACUGGAAACGGUAGCUAAUACCGCAUACUAUCGGAUGUACCCAUAUGGGAUUAGCUUGUAGGUGAGGUAACGGCUCACCUAGGCGACGAUCCCUAGCUGGUCUGAGAGGAUGACCAGCCACACUGGAACUGAGACACGGUCCAGACUCCUACGGGAGGCAGCAGUGGGGAAUAUUGCACAAUGGGCGCAAGCCUGAUGCAGCCAUGCCGCGUGUAUGAAGAAGGCCUUAGGGUUGUAAAGUACUUUCAGCGGGGAGGCGUUACCCGCAGAAGAAGCACCGGCUAACUCCGUGCCAGCAGCCGCGGUAAUUC